Non-coding RNA from Mycena rebaudengoi, 90 nucleotides. Lineage: Eukaryota; Fungi; Basidiomycota; Agaricomycetes; Agaricales; Mycenaceae. The record is from the annotation of a GenBank genome assembly.
UGGGACGUGGUGUACGGUGCACAGCUGCUGCUACUUAUCGACCUCUCAUGUGAUAAGCAGCAAGCCGGGGUUCGACUCCCCGCAUCCCAA